This 76-nucleotide small nucleolar RNA is filed under the name Brassica rapa (field mustard). The record is from RNAcentral. Lineage: Eukaryota; Viridiplantae; Streptophyta; Magnoliopsida; Brassicales; Brassicaceae.
UCGAUGAUGAUUAUUGCAAAAAUAUGGAAUUACCGUCUGAGUUACUUUGAUGUGAAAAACGCUGGCUUUACUGAGA